RNAcentral lists this ribosomal RNA (507 nucleotides) under uncultured bacterium. RNAcentral's name for it is "partial 16S ribosomal RNA". It matches the Rfam family "Bacterial small subunit ribosomal RNA", at positions 28 to 507 of the family's 1533-position model. The record is from RNAcentral.
GACGAACGCUGGCGGCGUGCCUAAUACAUGCAAGUCGAACGCAUUUUCUUUCACCGUAGCUUGCUACACCGAAAGAAAGUGAGUGGCGAACGGGUGAGUAACACGUGGGUAACCUGCCCAUCAGCGGGGGAUAACACUUGGAAACAGGUGCUAAUACCGCAUAAUUCCAUUUACCGCAUGGUAGAUGGAUGAAAGGCGCUUUUGCGUCACUGAUGGAUGGACCCGCGGUGCAUUAGCUAGUUGGUGGGGUAACGGCCUACCAAGGCUGCGAUGCAUAGCCGACCUGAGAGGGUGAUCGGCCACACUGGGACUGAGACACGGCCCAGACUCCUACGGGAGGCAGCAGUAGGGAAUCUUCGGCAAUGGACGCAAGUCUGACCGAGCAACGCCGCGUGAGUGAAGAAGGUUGUCGGAUUGUAAAACUCUGUUGUUAGAGAAGAACAAGGAUGAGAGUGGAAAGUUCAUCCCUUGACGGUAUCUAACCAGAAAGCCACGGCUAACUACGUG